AUGAACGCUGGCGGCGUGCCUAAUACAUGCAAGUCGAACGAGAGCCCUUAUAGCAAUAUGAGGGUUUCUAGUGGCGAACGGGUGAGUAACGCGUUGGUGAUCUGCCCCGAAGUGGGGGAUAACAGUCCGAAAGGAUUGCUAAUACCUCAUGUGGUUGCGAGAGUUAGAGGUCUUGCAACUAAAGGAGUAAUUCGCUUCGGGAGGAGCCUGCGUCCCAUCAGCUAGUUGGUAGGGUAAUGGCCUACCAAGGCGGAGACGGGUAGGGGACCUGAGAGGGUGACCCCCCACACUGGAACUGAAACACGGUCCAGACACCUACGGGUGGCAGCAGUAGGGAAUAUUGCACAAUGGACGAAAGUCUGAUGCAGCAACGCCGCGUGUGCGAUGAAGGCCUUCGGGUUGUAAAGCACUUUUUGGAAGGAAUAGGAAGGAAUGUACUUCCAGAAUAAGUCUCGGCUAACUACGU
Molecule: ribosomal RNA, 466 nt
Filed under: uncultured bacterium
Lineage: Bacteria
Description: bacterial SSU rRNA
Rfam family: Bacterial small subunit ribosomal RNA
Source: RNAcentral